CGGCGAGUGAAGCGGCAAAAGCUCAAAUUUGAAAUCUGGUACCUUUGGUGCCCGAGUUGUAAUUUGGAGAGGGCAACUUUGGGACCGUUCCUUGUCUAUGUUCCUUGGAACAGGACGUCAUAGAGGGUGAGAAUCCCGUGUGGCGAGGAGUGCGGUUCUAUGUAAAGUGCCUUCGAAGAGUCGAGUUGUUUGGGAAUGCAGCUCUAAGUGGGUGGUAAAUUCCAUCUAAAGCUAAAUAUUGGCGAGAGACCGAUAGCGAACAAGUACAGUGAUGGAAAGAUGAAAAGAACUUUGAAAAGAGAGUGAAAAAGUACGUGAAAUUGUUGAAAGGGAAGGGCAUUUGAUCAGACAUGGUGUUUUGCGCCCUCUGCUCCUUGUGGGUGGGGGAAUCUCGCAGUUCACUGGGCCAGCAUCAGUUUUGGUGGCAGGAUAAAUCCGUAGGAAUGUAACUUGCUUCGGGAAGUAUUAUAGCCUAUGGGAAUACUGCCAGCUGGGACUGA
Molecule: ribosomal RNA, 500 nt
Filed under: Saccharomyces x bayanus
Lineage: Eukaryota; Fungi; Ascomycota; Saccharomycetes; Saccharomycetales; Saccharomycetaceae
Description: eukaryotic LSU rRNA
Rfam family: Eukaryotic large subunit ribosomal RNA
Source: RNAcentral